This 620-nucleotide long non-coding RNA is filed under the name Laticauda laticaudata (blue-ringed sea krait). RNAcentral's name for it is "lncRNA (ENSLLTG00000000634.1)". Lineage: Eukaryota; Metazoa; Chordata; Lepidosauria; Squamata; Elapidae. The record is from RNAcentral.
CAGCAGCAUUCUUGGAAUGUCAGAUUUUCAAGUGUCUCCCUCAAAUGUUGAUUUAAAAAAAACUUAAUCAUGAUAAAAUGACUUGGAAAAGGUGUUUUAACCUUUUUUAAUAAAAGUAAUCUUCCAGAAUAUUAUGUUCAUCUUACUGCUGCUGUGGAACAGGUUCUGGAUUUCAUGCUGCAUUAAGGAAUUGAAUUUUUCAAUUAAAUCAUCCAAAGAAUGCCACUUCUAACCCAUGGACUGGUUUUGGGCAAAAGUCUGGCAGUACUAUCUCCUGCACUCUAUGGAAUGCAGAAUUCACCUUUGGGAUAAAGCACUCUCUCCGUGCUUCUUCCUUGCAUGAAGACUGAGUCCAAAACUGGGAAUGCUGAGGAGGCGAGACUAAGCUUUGAUUGACUCAAUCUUCAAGCAAGUAAGCAGAGACAACCCAUGCUUUGGAUUCUGCAACCAGUACAACUGAGAACUGAUACAUCAUGAUGCAGACUAAGCUAAAACACUUGACUCAACUGAUAUUUCAAAUGUUCAACCUAUAACACGAUAGACUCUUUAACUGUUAAGAAAGUAAACAAGAGUUCCCAGGACUGUAAGACCAACCAGUUAACUUAAUCUCUGUCCCUCCU